This 251-nucleotide ribosomal RNA is filed under the name uncultured prokaryote. Its description in RNAcentral is "partial 16S rRNA". It matches the Rfam family "Bacterial small subunit ribosomal RNA", at positions 525 to 775 of the family's 1533-position model. The record is from RNAcentral.
ACGGAGGAUGCGAGCGUUAUCCGGAUUUAUUGGGUUUAAAGGGUGCGUAGGUGGACUGUUUAGUCAGUGGUGAAAUGCUGAUGCUCAACGUUAGCAUUGCCGUUGAAACUGACAGUCUUGAGAGUGAUUGAGGCAGGCGGAAUGUGUGGUGGAGGGUAAAAAAACAAACAUAACACACGGAACCCCAAUGGCGAAGGACCCUUAAAAAGCCACAACUGACACUGAAGCACGAAAGCGUGGGGAUCAAACAG